UUAUAUUUUACACUCAAUACUUUAAAAUAUGACUAAAAAGGUAGCAUUAUGCAUCUAAAAUGUGGAAAGAAGUCAGAGAAUAUUGUUUUUUCAUUUUAUAUGACUUAACAUUAUUUGCACCAGCUGACCGCAGUCAAUUAUAGUGUCUACAGACUUUGCGGUAAAGGGUGUUAAAGCUGAUUUUUCAAGAAUAGACUAAUUCUAGGUUUGCGAAUGAAUUUUUAGCAUAAGCGACAACUGCGAUAAAAUGUAAACAAGUAAAAAUGUUUUCACAGAAUGAUAAUUUCUACAGAAACAUGAUUUAUUUUAAUUUAUUCAGACCUCCAGUGAUACAUACAUUACUGCAUUGGAAGAACAGAAAUAAUGAAAUGAGUCAGAUCUGUCUAAUAAACUUAAUACAUAAGCUACAUUAGUAAAAUUCAUUAAGAAUUUAUCAAAGUAAGGAAGGUUAUGACCAAAAAAUCCUGAAAUACUGUCAAGGUCUGCAUGAUAAUACUUAUUCUGAGUUCUAACCAUGCAUCAUACAUGUAGUGCAGAAUGUCACUUAGCAGCAUGGCAUGCCUUUUGUGGUUCUAAGGACUUUAUUUAUGCUUUCGCAGCUGACAUUCAUGUUUUUUCAGUUUGUCGGAGACUGUUUUUUGUUAUUUUUUCAUUUAUAUGUAGGUGUUGACUGUCACUUUUGAAUUAACUCUCAGUCAGUGAUGCUUAUAUGAGCAUGAUCUACUAAGUAUAUCAUUGUACUGAAAUAUUAAUAAAUUCCAAAUUGAACUGAUGAAGAAAUUUGGCAUAUUUACAUAAUUGAAAUAUCAGAAUAACUAUAAUUCAGCUAAUAAGGUGCACAUUUCUUCUCAGAUCACUUCCUAUAAAUUUUAUCAACAGUUUUGGUACACCCACCCACCUCAAAGAAUCAUGGAGGAUGUCCUGAAUCUGGUUCUUAUCAUCAAAGCCAGUUUAAUGGAGUGUGGGAGCUGUGAAGAACCUCCCUAGAUGCUGAUAUCAUUUUGACUGCCCUGAGUUACAACACAGCAUUUAGAUAAACUUCUGCACAGCAGCUUGUAGACACAUACCUGGGCUUUAUUUGGAACAUAAAUUGACCAGAUACAGUGUUCAUUAUCAACCCAGUAUUUAACAAUUUCUGUAUUUUUGUUCAUUCUUUGAAGGGGAAAAUGCAACUUUGUUAUGUAAUAAUUACAUAAUGGUCUUAGACUUGUAAACUCUUUUCUGUUUGUGGUGAAGAACAAAGCAUAUACUCUCCACGGAUAAAAAAUUGGUUGCCAAGCUUAUUCUUUUAAUGGUGAAAUUCUGCUUCAAAAGAUGCACAAAAAACUG
Long non-coding RNA from Saccostrea cuccullata (small rock oyster), 1329 nucleotides. RefSeq lists it as uncharacterized. The transcript is spliced from 2 exons. The record is from RefSeq and is a predicted model, not a curated record. NCBI's taxonomy places the organism in Eukaryota, Metazoa, Mollusca, Bivalvia, Ostreida, Ostreidae.